GAUGAACGCUAGCUACAGGCUUAACACAUGCAAGUCGAGGGGCAGCAUUUUAGUUUGCUUGCAAACUGAAGAUGGCGACCGGCGCACGGGUGAGUAACACGUAUCCAACCUGCCGAUAACUCGGGGAUAGCCUUUCGAAAGAAAGAUUAAUAUCCGAUGGUAUAUUAAAACCGCAUGGUUUUACUAUUAAAGAAUUUCGGUUAUCGAUGGGGAUGCGUUCCAUUAGUUUGUUGGCGGGGUAACGGCCCACCAAGACUACGAUGGAUAGGGGUUCUGAGAGGAAGGUCCCCCACAUUGGAACUGAGACACGGUCCAAACUCCUACGGGAGGCAGCAGUGAGGAAUAUUGGUCAAUGGACGAGAGUCUGAACCAGCCAAGUAGCGUGAAGGAUGACUGCCCUAUGGGUUGUAAACUUCUUUUAUAUGGGAAUAAAGUAUUCCACGUGUGGGAUUUUGUAUGUACCAUAUGAAUAAGGAUCGGCUAACUCCGUGCCAGCAGCCGCGGUAAUACGGAGGAUCCGAGCGUUAUCCGGAUUUAUUGGGUUUAAAGGGAGCGUAGGUGGAUUGUUAAGUCAGUUGUGAAAGUUUGCGGCUCAACCGUAAAAUUGCAGUUGAAACUGGCAGUCUUGAGUACAGUAGAGGUGGGCGGAAUUCGUGGUGUAGCGGUGAAAUGCUUAGAUAUCACGAAGAACUCCGAUUGCGAAGGCAGCUCACUAGACUGCAACUGACACUGAUGCUCGAAAGUGUGGGUAUCAAACAGG
RNAcentral lists this ribosomal RNA (760 nucleotides) under uncultured bacterium. RNAcentral describes it as "bacterial SSU rRNA". It matches the Rfam family "Bacterial small subunit ribosomal RNA", at positions 28 to 776 of the family's 1533-position model. The record is from RNAcentral.